Molecule: ribosomal RNA, 283 nt
Filed under: Teichococcus aestuarii
Lineage: Bacteria; Pseudomonadati; Pseudomonadota; Alphaproteobacteria; Acetobacterales; Roseomonadaceae
Description: Roseomonas aestuarii partial 16S ribosomal RNA
Rfam family: Bacterial small subunit ribosomal RNA
Source: RNAcentral
GCCGCGGUAAUACGUAGGUCCCGAGCGUUGUCCGGAUUUAUUGGGCGUAAAGCGAGCGCAGGCGGUUUGAUAAGUCUGAUGUGAAAGCCUUCGGCUCAACCGAAGAAGUGCAUCGGAAACUGGGAAACUUGAGUGCAGAAGAGGAGAGUGGAAUUCCAUGUGUAGCGGUGAAAUGCGUAGAUAUAUGGAGGAACACCGGUGGCGAAAGCGGCUCUCUGGUCUGUAACUGACGCUGAGGCUCGAAAGCGUGGGGAGCGAACAGGAUUAGAAACCCUGGUAGUCC